GGAAACGUGCCCGAAAGAUAGGAUCCUCCUUGAUAGGGAGGCUCAUAUGGGUUCAAACCCCAUCGUUUCCU
This 71-nucleotide transfer RNA is filed under the name Blommersia blommersae (Ambrana Madagascar frog). Its description in RNAcentral is "tRNA-Ile". It matches the Rfam family "tRNA". From Rfam's summary of the family: Transfer RNA (tRNA) molecules are approximately 80 nucleotides in length. The record is from RNAcentral. Lineage: Eukaryota; Metazoa; Chordata; Amphibia; Anura; Mantellidae.